This 470-nucleotide ribosomal RNA is filed under the name uncultured bacterium. RNAcentral's name for it is "bacterial SSU rRNA". It matches the Rfam family "Bacterial small subunit ribosomal RNA", at positions 954 to 1418 of the family's 1533-position model. The record is from RNAcentral.
GCUUAACGCGAAGAACCUUACCAGGUCUUGACAUCCUCUGACAACUCUAGAGAUAGAGCAUUCCCCUUCGGGGGACAGAGUGACAGGUGGUGCAUGGUUGUCGUCAGCUCGUGUCGUGAGAUGUUGGGUUAAGUCCCGCAACGAGCGCAACCCUUGAUCUUAGUUGCCAGCAUUUAGUUGGGCACUCUAAGGUGACUGCCGGUGACAAACCGGAGGAAGGUGGGGAUGACGUCAAAUCAUCAUGCCCCUUAUGACCUGGGCUACACACGUGCUACAAUGGAUGGUACAAAGGGCUGCAAGACCGCGAGGUCAAGCCAAUCCCAUAAAACCAUUCUCAGUUCGGAUUGUAGGCUGCAACUCGCCUACAUGAAGCUGGAAUCGCUAGUAAUCGCGGAUCAGCAUGCCGCGGUGAAUACGUUCCCGGGUCUUGUACACACCGGGGUCUUGUACACACCGGGGGAGGUCGGUGG